ACCCCAGGUCAGGCGGGAUUACCCGCUGAGUUUAAGGAUAUCAAUAAGCGGAGGAAAACAAACUUACAAGGAUUCCCCUAGUAACGGUGAGUGAACAGGGAACAACCCAGCCUUAGAAUCGGGCGGCUCUGUUAUCCAAAUUGUAGUAUAGAGAAGCGUCCUCAGCAGCGGACCGGGCCCAAGUGCACUGGAAGGGGGCGUCGGAGAAGGUGAGAGCCCCGUCGUGCCCGGACCCUGUCGCACCACGAGGCGCCGUGUACGAGUCAGGUUGUUUGGAAAUGCAGCCCAAAUCAGGCAGUUAAUUCCGUCCAAGGCUAAAUACUGGCGAGAGACAGAUAGCGAACAAGUACCGUGAGGGAGAGAUGAAAAGGACUUUGAAAAGAGAGUCAAAGAGUGCUUGAAAUUGUCAGGAGGGAAGCAAAUGGGGGCCGUCUAUGCGCCCCGGUGAGAUGUGGAACGGUGACGAGCUUGUCCGCCGAUCGACUCUGGGUGUGGACCAGCGUGGAUUGGGGGGGGUGGCCAAAGACCGGGCUCUCGAUACGCUUAUGGAACGCCGUCUCCCGGAUUCUGGAAGGCAGCGCGUGCCUCCAAUGUGCUUCGGUAUCUGUGCGCUCCGGACGCUGGCUUGUGGGCUCCCCAUUCGACCUGUCUUAAAACACAGACCAAGGAGUCUGACAUGUGUGCGAGUAAACAGGCUAGUAAACCCGUAAGGACUAAGGAAGUUUAUUGUUGGGAUCCCCUGAGGGGUGCAACGCCGACCGACCUUGAUCUUCUGAGAAGGGUUCGAGUGUGAGCAUACCUGUCGGGACCCAAAUGAUGGUGAACUAUGCCUGAGCGGGCGAAGCCAGAGGAAACUCUGGUGGAGACCCCCAGUGAUACUGACAUGCAAAUCGUUAGUAUAACAUGGGUAUAGGGGAAAAAGACUAAUCGAACCGUCUACUAGCUGGUUCCCUCCGAAGUUUCCCUCAGAAUAGCUGGAGCUCGCGUGCAAGCUCACGUGCAAGUUCUAUCUGGUAAUGCCCUCGACCUAUUCUCAAACUUUAUAUGGGUUGGACGGCGUGGCAACUUUGUUGAGCCAUGCCACGGAAUCAAGAUCUCCAAGUGGGCCAUUUUUUGUAAGCAGAACUGGCGAUGCGGGAUGAACCGGAAGCCGGGUUAUGGUGCCAAACUGCGCGCUAACCUAGAUUCCACAAAGGAUGUUGGUUGAUUAAGACAGCAAGACGGUGGUCAUGGAAGUCAAAAUUUACUAAGGAAUGUGUAACAACUCACCUGCCGAAUCAGCUAGCCCCGAAAAUGGAUGGCUCUUAAGCGCGCAACCUACACUCGGCCGUCAGGGCAGGCACCAGGCCCCGAUGAGUAAGAGGGUGCGGCGGGUCGGCCAUCCUCGGGCGUGGCAUGCCAUCAUAGCCCUUGGACAGGACACACAAUCAGACGACGUCGAGCGUGGCAUGCCAUCAUCUCCUUUGGACUAGCUGACACGGUCAGACGACAUCGCGCGUCGCAUGCUAUCAUCGCCUUUGGACUAGCUGACACGGUCGGACGACGUGGGGUGUGGCAUGCCAUCUUCGCCCUUGGGCAGCAUAGAUGGUCGAACGGCGUCAGGCGUGGCUUGCCAUCAUCGCCCUUGGACAGCACAGAUGGUCGGGAAUCGUCGGGCGUGGCAUGCCAUCAUAGCCCUUGGACAGCAUAAACGGUCGACCGUCGUCAGACGUGCCUAAACACAAUGGUCAGCGGUGGCCUGCCUGCAUCGGUCGUGGCUUGCAUGACAUUGUUCGAGUUCUAAACGAAACAUGCAGAUAUUCAUGCCGUACAUAAAUCAAAGGAUUUUGAAACAACCUCCAUGCAUAACAAACAUAUUCGUCUAAUUUCCAUUAUCUAUUCUCUAAUGUUUCCGCCAAAUGUGGCUCUUUGCAUCAUUUUCAUUACUUUUACGGUUCGUACGAUAUUGAAACAUCUUUUAUUUGUGUAAAUAGAUAUCUUAUCAUUAAUUUUACAUGUUUAGAAGUUUUUCGAGCAUUUCCAUAUUUUUUCGAAUAUUAAUCAUUAUUUUAUAAUUUAUUUUUACGCUUUCUAAUUUUUUACGUCUCCUUUUAAAAAUUAAAUUUUUUAUUUUAAGGUUCCCAUAUUUAUUUGUAAAUUUUCGGAGUUGAUUUCAUAUUUUUUCGAUAUUUUCCCUACUUUUUUUAAUUUAUUAUUAAUUUUUUGGAAUUUUUGAAAAAAAUAAAAAUUAAAAAAAUGUUGAAAAAUAUUUUUUUAUAUAGAUUAAAGUCAUUUGUGAAAGCUGAUGUGUGUUUGUACCUUAGAACGUGCAUAUUUGGGUUGUACAUUUCCAUUAUGAUUCUCUGGAAAAUCCAUGUCUACUCCUGUCACAUGGGUAAAACUUUUUAAAGCAUAUAUAAGGGGGUAGAGGUGUAGGAGGCAUACUGAGGCGCAGACAGGCAUACGACAUAGGCGUCCCGUGGGCUUAGUAGGCGUGUUGCGUGGGCACUUGAUGGCAUGCAUGGCUUGUCCUUGCUACGUCAUUCGGCGUUUACAAAAAUACGUAGCCGACAUCGACGGGUUGAGUGAGGUAAAGGAAGGCGAACGUCAAGGGCGUCCUAUGGGCUUAGUAGGCGUGCUGCGUGGGAGCUUAAUGGCAUGCAUGGCUCGUCCGUGCUUUACCAUUGGGCAUCUACAAAGACAUGCAAGUGACGUUUGCGCGGCGGUUGAGGCCAAGACAGGUGGACGUCAAGGGCGUCCUGUGGGAUUAGUAGGCGUGCUGCGUGGGCGCUUGAUGGCAUGCAUAGCUCGUCCGUGCUAUGCCGUUGGGCUUUUACAAAAACAUGCCCGCGACGUAUGCGGGGCAUUUGAGGUGGUGGCAGGCCGACGUCAUGGGCGUCCUAUGGGCUUAGUAGGCGUGCUGCGUGGGCGCUUGACAUCAUGCAUGGCUUGUCCUUGCUACGCCGUUGGGUGUCAACAAAAACAUGCCAGCGACAUCUGCGGGGCAACUGAGGCAAAAGCAAGCGGGCGUCAAGCGUGUUCCAUGGGCUUAGAGCGCGUUAU
RNAcentral lists this ribosomal RNA (3042 nucleotides) under Solanum lycopersicum (tomato). RNAcentral describes it as "eukaryotic LSU rRNA". The stretch from base 1 to 1438 matches the Rfam family "Eukaryotic large subunit ribosomal RNA". The record is from RNAcentral. Lineage: Eukaryota; Viridiplantae; Streptophyta; Magnoliopsida; Solanales; Solanaceae.